This 466-nucleotide ribosomal RNA is filed under the name uncultured bacterium. Its description in RNAcentral is "bacterial SSU rRNA". It matches the Rfam family "Bacterial small subunit ribosomal RNA", at positions 330 to 794 of the family's 1533-position model. The record is from RNAcentral.
UCCAGACUCCUACGGGAGGCAGCAGUGAGGAAUAUUGGUCAAUGGUCGGGAGACUGAACCAGCCAAGCCGCGUGAGGGAAGACGGCCCUAUGGGUUGUAAACCUCUUUUGUCGGAGAACAAAACCCGGGACGAGUCCCGGACUGCGUGUAUCCGAAGAAAAAGCAUCGGCUAACUCCGUGCCAGCAGCCGCGGUAAUACGGAGGAUGCGAGCGUUAUCCGGAUUUAUUGGGUUUAAAGGGUGCGUAGGCGGGCUUUUAAGUCAGCGGUAAAAAUUCGGGGCUCAACCCCGUCCGGCCGUUGAAACUGGGGGCCUUGAGUGGGCGAGAAGAAGGCGGAAUGCGUGGUGUAGCGGUGAAAUGCAUAGAUAUCACGCAGAACCCCGAUUGCGAAGGCAGCCUUCCGGCGCCCUACUGACGCUGAGGCACGAAAGUGCGGGGAUCGAACAGGAUUAGAUACCCUAGUAAG